GUCCAACUAAAAGUGAUCAAGAAACUUCUUCCCCAACAGAAAAAAAUGCAAAUGGACCAACCAGUGUUCAUGAUAAUGGUGAUAAAAAGGAGCCCCUGGUUACAUGGGUGCACAAAAAUUUCCAGGGUAUACUCACAAAUGAAACGAAGUGCUUGCGUUGUGAGACUGUAACUGCAAGAGAUGAGACAUUUCUUGAUUUGAGCCUUGACAUUGAACAGAACAGUUCAAUAACUAGCUGCCUGAAGAACUUUAGUUCCACAGAGACUUUG
RNAcentral lists this unclassified non-coding RNA (269 nucleotides) under Hevea brasiliensis (rubber tree). The record is from RNAcentral. Lineage: Eukaryota; Viridiplantae; Streptophyta; Magnoliopsida; Malpighiales; Euphorbiaceae.